This 452-nucleotide ribosomal RNA is filed under the name uncultured cyanobacterium. RNAcentral describes it as "bacterial SSU rRNA". It matches the Rfam family "Bacterial small subunit ribosomal RNA", at positions 8 to 502 of the family's 1533-position model. The record is from RNAcentral. Lineage: Bacteria; Bacillati; Cyanobacteriota.
AGAGUUUGAUCAUGGCUCAGGAUGAACGCUGGCGGUCUGCUUAACACAUGCAAGUCGAACGGAAUCUUUCGGGAUUUAGUGGCGGACGGGUGAGUAACGCGUGAGAAUCUGCCUUCAGGUUCGGGACAACAGUUGGAAACGGCUGCUAAUACCGGAUGUGCCGAGAGGUGAAAGCUUAAGUGCCUGGAGAUGAGCUCGCGUCUGAUUAGCUAGUAGGAGUGGUAACGGCACCCCUAGGCGACGAUCAGUAGCUGGUCUGAGAGGAUGAUCAGCCACACUGGGACUGAGACACGGCCCAGACUCCUACGGGAGGCAGCAGUGGGGAAUUUUCCGCAAUGGGCGCAAGCCUGACGGAGCAAGACCGCGUGAGGGAAGAAGGUCUGUGGAUUGUAAACCUCUUUUGAUCGGGAAGAAGACAGUGACGGUACCGAUCGAAUCAGCUUCGAUUCCCG